Mastomys coucha (southern multimammate mouse) is the source of this 349-nucleotide long non-coding RNA. RefSeq lists it as uncharacterized. The transcript is spliced from 2 exons. The record is from RefSeq and is a predicted model, not a curated record. NCBI's taxonomy places the organism in Eukaryota, Metazoa, Chordata, Mammalia, Rodentia, Muridae.
GUUGUGUCUGCUAGGAACGUCAGAAACUACGCCGCAUAAAGCCCCACUAAUAUGACUGCCUAAAACACGAGCUGAAUGAAAAUAACACCGAUACUUGUGUUAAUAUAGACGAGGGAGAUCCCAGAAAGCCUCAACCCCGCACGAGAACUCCAGUUCCAGGUUCUUAGCAAAAGAGCAAGGAUGGCCACUGCAUCUCUCUGGCUUUUCAUCACCACAUGACAGCUCAUUCUUACCCAUGUUCCCACCAGGAUGCUCUUGAUCGCAUUGUGACUCAGCCAAUGGAGACUUCAUCAGAAGACACACAAAUUCACCCUCCAGAAGUAGGAAUUAAAUAACUUUUUUUUAUUAA